This 2698-nucleotide ribosomal RNA is filed under the name Ancylostoma ceylanicum. Its description in RNAcentral is "eukaryotic LSU rRNA". It matches the Rfam family "Eukaryotic large subunit ribosomal RNA", at positions 426 to 2748 of the family's 3401-position model. Lineage: Eukaryota; Metazoa; Nematoda; Chromadorea; Rhabditida; Ancylostomatidae. The record is from RNAcentral.
UAUAGAAGCCCUCGAUCUCGUCUUCAUCGUAGCUGGAGAUUGGAGCGUAGGCGACGAAGACUGUCAGGGCCAGCAUUGAUUUACAUUUCCUCAGUCGCAAACGUCCGAUUCGGAUCGUUAGUUGUUCGGAAGAACCGAUGAUCAUGGCCACGUUCGUGUUGACGAGGACACUAACUCCUCUAUAAUCGCAGAUCCCAAGGAACAGUUUUUCUCUAGUAUCGAAGGUGUCGUUCAGCGGCCGGUGCCUUCUCGUCUCGGUCAGUCUGCUGACGUCGUACCUGAUUUUACUGUCCUGCACCAUCAGAUCCUCGAUGGCAGCCUUUGAUGCAAGCGCCCAUGCGUGCGUCACUUGAAUGCAGAGCUUUUCAUCGGAUAGAUGUGCAGGUUAGAAUCUAAAGAUACGCAAGCACACCCACGCACGCAUCCAUGAACAUACUCACGCGCUGACAGAAAGUAAGAAUCGUUCCAAUACUGCAGAAACAGGGAAUCCAUCCCCUGAAUCCACCCUCCUCUCAGGGCAGGUAUAAUUUCGCGUUUGGUCCGCGAUUGGCCACCUAUCCGCCACCUGGGGACGCGCAACGUAGCCUCGUGACUAACCGGCAGUAAUCCCUCUAUGCGGCAGAUCCGUGGAACGCGGACCGAGGAUUGUAACUUGUACGCGAGUCAAGGGGUGGAAAACCCCAUGGCGAAAUGAAAUAAAGUUUGGUUAAUCGGCCGACAUGGGAUCCGCUUUUCGAAGCGGUGCAUCAUGGCCUGUCUCGUCUGCUUGCAGAUGGGCAGCGGUAGAGCGUACAGGUUCCGACUCGAAGGAUGGUGAACUAUGCCUGAGCAGGACAAAGUCGGAGGAAACUCUGAUGAAAGUCCAUAUCGGUUCUGACGUGCAAAUGGAUCGGUAGACUUGGGAACAGGGGCGAAAGAGACCAUCUAGUAGCUGAUUCCCUCCGAAGUUUCCCCCAGGAUAGCUGGAGUUCUUUGCGGUUAUAUCCGGAAAAGUGAAUGAUUAGAGAACUUGGGGUCGGAACGACCUCAACCCAUCCUCAAACUUUCAAUGGGUAUGUUGUCUCGGUAUCUUCGUUGAACUGUUGACACAAACGCGAGCUCCAAGUGGGCAAUAUUUGGUAAGCAGAGCUGGCGCUAUGGGAUGAACCAAACGUUGGGUUAAGGUGCCUAACUUAUCGCUCAUGAUACCCUGUAAAAUGAGUUGGUUGAUAUAGACAGCAGGACGGUGGCCGUGGAAGUCGUACUAGCUAAAGAGUGUGAAAAUUCACCUGCCGAAUCAACUAGCCCUGAAAAUGGAUGGCGCUCGAGCGAGAGACCUAUACCCAGCCGUUGCUGGCUUUUGCGUUGUCUAGCGCCUGACCGCAACGAGAAGGAGAGUCGUGGCGGUUGCGUCGAAGGCUUUGGGCGUAGGCUCAGCUGGAGCUUCCGUCACUGCAGAUCUCGGUGGUGGUAGCAAAUAUUUAGAUUCGAUCCUUGGAGACUGAAGUGGAGAAGGGUUCCACGUGAACAGUACUUGAAUGUGGGUUAGUCGAUCGGCGAUUGCGGCUUUCUAAGUCGCUUGCCCGAUAACGCAUUCGAACUUGGUUACGUCGCUCAGGAACUGAGCCAGAGUCCUUUAGUUAAGGAGCGGACUCCCUGGAACUCGUGUUCUCUGGGCGACCCACGAGAAACCAAGGGAGGCUUUUAAUCUGUGCUGCAUCGUACCAAUAUCCGCAUCACGUCUCCAAGGUGAGCAGCCUCUAGUCGAUAGAAUAAUGUAGAUGAAGGAAGUCGCCAAAUUGGGUCCGUAACUUCGGGAAAAGGGAACGUUUUCAGAUGUGUGCUCUGUCUUCGGGCUCAGUAUCCUGACCGACAAUCAAAACGGUUGAAAUGGAACUGGUACGGACUCGGGGAAUCCGACUGUCUAAUUAAAACAGAGGAGACAGAUGGUCCUUGCAGACGUUUACUGCCUCUGAUUUCUGCCCAGUGCUCUAAAUGUUAAAUCGUAGUAAUUCGAGUAAGCGCGGAUGAACGGCGGGAGUAACUAUGACUCUCUUAAGGUAGCCAAAUGCCUCGUCAGCUAACUACUGACGCGCGUGAUUGGAUUAACGAGAUUCCCACUGGGUCUAACUACUAUCUAGCGAAACAACAGCCAAGUGAACGGGCUUGGCAAAGAUAGCGGGAAAGAAGACCCUGUUGAGCUCGACUCUAGUUUGACAUUGUGAAGAGAGGUGUAGCAUAGGUGGGAGACUUCGGUCGCCAAUGAAAUACCACCACUCUCAUCGAUUCUUUACUUAUUCGGUGAGAGGAAAAUUGAGCUUCUGCUCCUUUUUCUUCGUCUUAAGCAAAGCCACCUGGUGGCCUCGCGACUCUCGCAGACAGUGACAGGCGGGAAGUUUGGCUGGGGCGGUACAUCUGUCAAAUCGUAACCUAGGUGUCCUAAGGCUAGCUCAGAGAGGACGGAAACCUCUCGCAGAGCAAAAAAGGCAAAAAAGCAAAAGCUCGCUUGAAACCAAGCAUAACAGAAACAAAUGACAACGUAUUCCUGAUCCGGUAGAUUUUUUCGUAUUGCCGAAUAGGCUUCAUAGUUUCUAUGGAGGUCAUGUCAUUGUGUCAAUUCAUCUUUUUUGGCAAUAUCAUAGUAAUAUCUAUGGUGCGACAGAACGUCUGGCGCGCCCCAUGAAAAGAACCAGCAUGAUCUUCUUGAAAAUCGCUUCGC